This 420-nucleotide ribosomal RNA is filed under the name uncultured bacterium. RNAcentral describes it as "bacterial SSU rRNA". It matches the Rfam family "Bacterial small subunit ribosomal RNA", at positions 355 to 773 of the family's 1533-position model. The record is from RNAcentral.
UAGGGAAUAUUGGACAAUGGUUGCAAGACUGAUCCAGCCAUGCCGCGUGCAGGAAGAAGGCUUUCUGAGUUGUAAACUGCUUUUGCCAGGGGAUAAAAAGUCCCUGCGGGGAAAAUUGAAGGUACCUGGUGAAUAAGCCACGGCUAACUACGUGCCAGCAGCCGCGGUAAUACGUAGGUGGCAAGCGUUGUCCGGAUUUAUUGGGUUUAAAGGGUGCGUAGGCGGUCCUGUAAGUCAGUUGUGAAAUACGGCAGCUUAACUGUCGAGGUGCAAUUGAUACUGCGGGACUAGAGUACUGAUGAGGUAAGCGGAAUGGACGGUGUAGCGGUGAAAUGCUUAGAUAUCGUCCAGAACACCGAUAGCGAAGGCAGCUUACUAAGGAGUAACUGACGCUGAGGCACGAAAGUGUGGGGAUCAAAC